GUGGGGAAUCUUCCACAAUGGACGAAAGUCUGAUGGAGCAACGCCGCGUGAGUGAAGAAGGGUUUCGGCUCGUAAAGCUCUGUUGUCGGGGACGAAUGUGCAGUAUUUGAAUAAAGUACUGCAAUGACGGUACCUGACGAGGAAGCCACGGCUAACUACGUGCCAGCAGCCGCGGUAAUACGUUGGUGGCAAGCGUUGUCCGGAAUUAUUGGGCGUAAAGGGAGCGCAGGCGGGAAGGUAAGUCGGUCUUAAAAGUGCGGGGCUCAACCCCGUGAUGGGAUCGAAACUAUCUUUCUUGAGUGCAGGAGAGGAAAGUGGAAUUCCUAGUGUAGCGGUGAAAUGCGUAGAUAUUAGGAGGAACACCAGUGGCGAAGGCGACUUUCUGGACUGUAACUGACGCUGAGGCUCGAAAGCCAGGGGAGCGAACGGGAUUAGAUACCCCUGUAGUCC
Molecule: ribosomal RNA, 450 nt
Filed under: uncultured bacterium
Lineage: Bacteria
Description: partial 16S ribosomal RNA
Rfam family: Bacterial small subunit ribosomal RNA
Source: RNAcentral